RNAcentral lists this ribosomal RNA (496 nucleotides) under uncultured bacterium. RNAcentral describes it as "partial 16S ribosomal RNA". It matches the Rfam family "Bacterial small subunit ribosomal RNA", at positions 28 to 523 of the family's 1533-position model. The record is from RNAcentral.
GGCGAACGCUGGCGGCGUGCUUAACACAUGCAAGUCGAACGAGAAUCUGUGGAAAGAGGAUUCGUCCAAUUGAAGCAGAGGACAGUGGCGGACGGGUGAGUAACGCGUGAGGAACCUGCCUUUCAGAGGGGGACAUCAGUUGGAAACGACUGCUAAUACCGCAUGACACAUAGGUGUCGCAUGGCACUUAUGUCAAAGAUUUAUCGCUGAAAGAUGGCCUCGCGUCUGAUUAGCUAGUUGGUAAGGUAACGGCCCACCAAGGCGACGAUCAGUAGCCGGACUGAGAGGUUGAACAGCCACAUUGGGACUGAGAUACGGCCCAGACUCCUACGGGAGGCAGCAGUGGGGAAUAUUGGGCAAUGGGCGCAAGCCUGACCCAGCAACGCCGCGUGAAGGAAGAAGGCUUUCGGGUUGUAAACUUCUUUUGUCAGGGACGAGUAGAAGACGGUACCUGACGAAUAAGCCACGGCUAACUACGUGCCAGCCGCCGCAGUAA